UACGGAGGGUGCGAGCAUUAAUCGGAUUUAUUGGGCGUAAAGGGCGCGUAGGCGGGUCAGUAAGUCAGAUGUGAAAGCCCGGGGCUCAACCCCGGAACAGCAUUUGAAACUGCAGAUCUAGAGGGUAGGCGGAGAAAAUAGAAUUCCACAAGUAGCGGUGAAAUGCGUAGAUAUGUGGAAGAAUACCAGUGGCGAAGGCGGUUUUCUAGCUUAUACCUGACGCUGAGGCGCGAAAGCAAGGGGAUCAAACAGG
This 253-nucleotide ribosomal RNA is filed under the name uncultured bacterium. RNAcentral describes it as "partial 16S ribosomal RNA". It matches the Rfam family "Bacterial small subunit ribosomal RNA", at positions 524 to 776 of the family's 1533-position model. The record is from RNAcentral.